AAAAUAGAGACAUAUUUGAUGAAAAAGAUGAAAAAUGCUGUUAACUGGAUAUACUAAUGAAUUUAAAUGCCACAGGUUGUUCAAUCCAAAGACUAACAAGCUUGUGAUAUUAAGAUAUUACAGCCUAAAAUUUGAAGGAAAAAACCCAGCACCAAUAUCUAUUAUUCAAGAGUUAUCAUAGCCUCGUUCAAGUCAAAAAGAG
This 202-nucleotide long non-coding RNA is filed under the name Musa acuminata (dwarf banana). Its description in RNAcentral is "long non-coding RNA (MACU_LNC007870)". The record is from RNAcentral. Lineage: Eukaryota; Viridiplantae; Streptophyta; Magnoliopsida; Zingiberales; Musaceae.